Molecule: ribosomal RNA, 460 nt
Filed under: uncultured bacterium
Lineage: Bacteria
Description: bacterial SSU rRNA
Rfam family: Bacterial small subunit ribosomal RNA
Source: RNAcentral
AACGAACGCUGGCGGCAUGCCUAACACAUGCAAGUCGAACGGGAUCCUGGCUUCGGCCAGGUGAGAGUGGCGGACGGGUGAGUAACGCGUGGGAACCUGCCCAUUGGUCUGGGAUAACUGCGGGAAACUGCAGCUAAUACCGGAUGUACCCGAGAGGGGAAAGAUUUAUCGCCGAUGGAGGGGCCCGCGUCAGAUUAGGUAGUUGGUGAGGUAACGGCUCACCAAGCCUACGAUCUGUAGCUGGUCUGAGAGGAUGAUCAGCCACACUGGGACUGAGAUACGGCCCAGACUCCUACGGGAGGCAGCAGUGGGGAAUAUUGGACAAUGGGGGCAACCCUGAUCCAGCAAUGCCGCGUGAGUGAUGAAGGCCUUAGGGUUGUAAAGCUCUUUUGCCAGGGAAGAUGAUGACUGUACCUGGAGAAUAAGCCCCGGCUAACUUCGAGCCAGCAGCCGCGGUAAU